Molecule: small nucleolar RNA, 68 nt
Filed under: Merops nubicus (carmine bee-eater)
Lineage: Eukaryota; Metazoa; Chordata; Aves; Coraciiformes; Meropidae
Description: Small nucleolar RNA SNORD58
Rfam family: Small nucleolar RNA SNORD58
About the family: snoRNA U58 is found in introns 1, 3 and 6 of the ribosomal protein RPL17 gene in humans.
Source: Rfam by way of RNAcentral
UGGCGGUGAUGACCUAUCUUAGGACACCUUUGGAACAACCAUGAAAUAAUUCAGUUUUUCUGAGCCAU